UAGGGAAUCUUCGGCAAUGGACGAAAGUCUGACCGAGCAACGCCGCGUGAGUGAAGAAGGUUUUCGGAUCGUAAAACUCUGUUGUUAGAGAAGAACAAGGACGUUAGUAACUGAACGUCCCCUGACGGUAUCUAACCAGAAAGCCACGGCUAACUACGUGCCAGCAGCCGCGGUAAUACGUAGGUGGCAAGCGUUGUCCGGAUUUAUUGGGCGUAAAGCGAGCGCAGGCGGUUUCUUAAGUCUGAUGUGAAAGCCCCCGGCUCAACCGGGGAGGGUCAUUGGAAACUGGGAGACUUGAGUGCAGAAGAGGAGUGUGGAAUUCCAUGUGUAGCGGUGAAAUGCGUAGAUAUAUGGAGGAACACCAGUGGCGAAGGCGGCUCUCUGGUCUGUAACUGACGCUGAGGCUCGAAAGCGUGGGGAGCAAACAGG
RNAcentral lists this ribosomal RNA (429 nucleotides) under Chloroflexota bacterium. RNAcentral's name for it is "Chloroflexi bacterium partial 16S ribosomal RNA". It matches the Rfam family "Bacterial small subunit ribosomal RNA", at positions 355 to 776 of the family's 1533-position model. RNAcentral also lists the same sequence under 1 other name. Lineage: Bacteria; Bacillati; Chloroflexota. The record is from RNAcentral.